Molecule: long non-coding RNA, 8796 nt
Organism: Acinonyx jubatus (cheetah)
Lineage: Eukaryota; Metazoa; Chordata; Mammalia; Carnivora; Felidae
Exons: 2
Source: RefSeq, a predicted model, not a curated record
ACCUCAAGGUCUUAGUUCUCAACUGAAAAUAAUUCCGUUCCUACAGGUAUGCAUCUAUGUCAUGUCCCAAAAGGCAGAACAUGGUACUGAAUAUUUUAAAAGAUUAAGGAUAUCAAAAUAAUGUGUCAGUGACAGAACCAGUUUGGAUGAAAAAUUAAAAGUACAAAUUCUGAAUAUCCCACAUACAUAUGUAACUGAACAUUUUUGUCAUUAUCUGGUUUUUCACUAAAUUCCACUUACUCUCAAUUUAAAAUAUCUCUCUGUACAGGGAUGUCUGGGUGGCUCAGUCAGUCAAGUGUCUGACUUUGGCUCAAGUCAUGAUCUCGCAGUUCAUGAGUUCGAGCCCCACAUCAGGUUCUGUGCUGACAGCUCAGAGCAGGGAGCCUGCUUCUGAUUCUGCAUCUCCCUCUCUCUCUGCCCCUCCCUGGCUCAGGCUCUGUCUCUGUCUCUCUCUCAAAAAUAAAUAAACAUUUAAAAAACUCUGAAGUAUCUCUCUGUACAAAAGAAGCCAACAGAGUAGCGCAGAGACUGCACUACUGAGGUCCCAAUAAACUCACCUUUUUGUCUGCAUAGUAGGGGUCGAGGUCCUCCAGGGGCUCUGACACCAUGCCUGGUGGGAUGUCCCCGUAGAUGAAGGGCAGCUGUUUGCCAGCUUCCAGGUCACUGCUUGGCCUUGGGCCUUCUUCGUCAUCAUCUUUCUUUUCUUCUUUGGGUUCCUUUGUUUUUCCUUCAGCAAUACGUUGUUCAAUGAGGGCAAGAGACUGUCUUGUGAAGUAGACAAAACUCUGAGGUCCUGGGGGAGGCAGCGUUGCCAUCUUUUCAUCCUGUAUAUUUUAUUUCCCCUUCAGCUCCUUACAUAAGAGGCCUAAGUGGAAACAAAGAAAGAGAUAGGUGUUUGCUAGCAAGAUAUGGCACAUUACAAAAAAUAAAAAAUGGAUUUUUGGUUUCAACUACAAGAAGUAAUGUGUUCACAGAAUUAUUAUGUUGAAUUAACAUUUACUAAGUGAUUACUAUGUGCAAGACUUAUUUUCCAUGCUAUCUAACCAUCUUUAUAUAAAAAUUUGAUCUUAGACAAUAAAUUUCAUAUUAAAAAAUAAAGGUUUAUAGAUUAUAACUUUAAAAAAUAAAUUCUAACAUGUAAAAAUAAAUUUGAUUUUAAUACUUCCCAGCUUCUAAAAUAAAAAAGUGACAAUUUAAUGGAAAAAAAAACUAUUUACUUUUCAUCUGUAUUUAGUUUUAGUGCUAUUGAAUCAACCUUCCUUAUUUAAAAUUCUUUAUGACAGUGCUUCUUUAUUUUUUUUACAGUUUAUUUUACUUAUUUUGAGCGACAGAAAGAGAGCAGGGGAGGGCAGAGAGGGAGGGAGAGAGAGAAUACCAAGCAGACUCCACACCGUCAGCACGGAGCCAGACAUGGGGCUUGAACUCAUGAACCAUGAGAUCAUGACCUGAGCCGAAAUCAAGAGGCAGAUGCUCAACCAGCAGAGCCAUCCAGGCGUCCCACAACAGUGCUUCUGAGAUUUCCAAAUUCCCAUUGCAAUGAAAACAAAGAUGGACAAGAGGAAAAAGUUUCAUGAUAUCAUUGAAAACCAGAGAAGACACUGAAGAGUUUUUGCAAAUCCGAAGAAGAGAGAAAGACAAGUUUCCCCUGAUGAGAAGAUUAAACCAGAAGCCACAGCCUACACUCAUCUGAGAAUGUCAGAAGAGAGAAACAUUUCUGUCCAGCAGAGAAGUCACAGAGUUGGCCCACAAUUAAAUAAGUCAGAAAACAAGUUGACUAAGGAUUAUUCUACCCAACAAUGUUGCAAGUCAUAUUUCCCCGCUUCCUCCUCUAUAUUCAAGUGUGAAGCAGUGGGAUUUAUCUCCAGGCUAAAUUUAACCCCAGACUAAACCAAAAAAAAAAAAAAAAAUCUCUGAAUUAAUUGAGAUAAGACCACCUAUGGUGUUCAUUUCCAUUUUUACUAGAAGCAGGGCAGGUUAAUUUACUACCUUUUUCUCAUGUGUUUUGAAUUUCGAUUUCUAUUUCCUUUUUUUUUUUUUUUUUUUGAGAGAGAGAGACAGAGAGCAGGGGAGAGGGGCAGAGGGAGAGAGAGAGAAUCCCAAGCAGGCUCCAUACCCAGCACGGAAUCCUAUGCAGGGCUUGAUCCCAUGACCCUGGGAUCAUGACCUGAGCCAAUAUCAAGAGUCAGACACUAACCGACCAAGCCACCCAGGUGCCCCUCUUUCUAUUUUUUUUAAGUUUUUAUUUACUUAUUUUUGAGAGAGAGAAAGAAAGAGAGCAUGAGUGCACAUGAGAAGGGAAGGGCCAGACAGAGAGAGAGAGAGAGAGAGAGAGAGAGAGAGAGAGGGUCCUAAGCGGGCUCUAUACUACCAGUGCAGAGCCUGAUCUCUCAUAAACUGUGAGAUCAUGACGCAGGCCAAAAUCAAUUUGGAUGUGUAACCAACUGAGCCACCCAGACUCCUCCCAUAUUUCUAAUUUAAAUGUGUUACAUUUUCACUGAAUAAUUCCUCAAAUUAUUUUGGUAAGUAAUUGGGUAUAAAUUAUAAAGCAGCAUAUCAAAAGCUGCUGUCUGUAAAUGCAGUAUGAUUUGAUAUGUCAUAAGAAAAAGUUCUGUGGCUAAAUGUGGAAAAUGCUGGAGUAGGAAACAAACAAAUUUCUCUGCCCCUGGACAAUUAGGGACUUUACACAUUUAAGAGUUUGACAGAAUUGAUAUGUAGCAGAUCCUGAAUCUGCUAGAUCACAGAACUCUUCUGUUGUUGCUGUUUUAUUUUGAUAAUGCCAGAAAUGAUAAAUUAUGAAAUAUUUCAAGCACACAGAAAAGUGUAGAAAGCAUUAGAUUUAACAAACUUUAACAGUUUCCCAUAUUUGCUUUGGACUUUUAACUUUUUGUUUUUUGAAGAAAUAAGAAUGUUCGGUUAGGGUUGAAGCCCCCAUCACUGUUCUCAAUUCAAUUAUCUUCACUUCCCCACCUACUUCCUCAGGGAAACCUAAAGUCCAUAGAGAACCCUUUGCAUUUCACACAUUAAUCUCUCCUAUGUUCUUCAGAAGACACUUUGGAAACACUGGUUUGAAGAACAAAGUGGAACAAUGGUUUGAUGCUAAAAUGAUAAAACUGAACCUAUUUAUGUAAUAUUAAUUACCCUUUUACCCUUGUGCCCUGUGGCUUUGCUAAAUUCUCUUACUGGCCCUGGUAUUUUGGUAGAUUAUUUAGGAUUUUCUAUAAAGGUGGACUCUUCUUGCCUUUUCUUUGCCCAUAUCCUAAAAUGUAGCAAACCAGAUACACACACAAAGCCUACAGGCAUUCCUCCCCAUAAAGGAAGGAUUUGUUUGGGAAACAGACCCACAUAAGGCAGAAGCAACCCUGAAUAACAGCAACAUAGUCUUUCAUUCAAAAUUAUUAACAGAUAAUUAAGGAUGAAUUGGUAAUCAAAGAUGACCAAAAACAUAAAACUGAAGGAUUCGGAUGAACAGACCAAACUCCUAACUCUAGAAGAAAGAAAAAAAUUGUCAAACACAGAGUAAUAUGAAGGGGUUAAAAUUAGUAUUCUCAGAGAGAUUUUAGAAGAUAAUCUCUUACUGAAAAGAGUAGGCUAUCAAAAAAAAAGGGGAAUCAAAAAGAAUAAAAAUUCUUGAAGGCAUGACCAUCAAAAUAAAAUUUUUGAUGUAAUAUUUGCUGAAAAGAAAUAGAAGUCAGAAUUUUAGUUACCUUUCAAAGGUACGUUACCAGGAUGGGGCACAAGUGAGAAUUCUCAGGUAUGGAGAUGUUCUAUACUUGGUCUGUGUGAUGGUCACACAAGUACAUAUACAUGAAAAAAUUCAUAGCAUUCUAUACUUUAGAUUGCCUAAUACAGUAGAGUAAAAGAGCAAAGGAAAACUCACAAUAAAAUUCAGAAGAUGUGCAAUAAUUUUGGGAGUCCCAGCAUCAGUCUCAAAAGAGGGAGCAGCAAAUGGAAGAGAGAAAAUAAUAAAAGAAUUGACAGAAGAAACUUAAUCACGAGUCAUCAGGCUGAAAAGUAUGAAAGAAGUUCAGUUAAAAAGAUAAUUCUAGUGAAAAUUUAGAACUCCAAUAAUAAAGACAAGUUUUGAAACAAAACUAUACAUUAGACCCAUAAUCUAUAUAUUAGGGUAAACUGGAGACAAUUGGAAAUUUAUUUUGUUAAUACCUCUCUUUCAAAGGCAUAACGUGUCACAUUGCAAACUCCCACAGGGUAAGGAACGUGUCUUCUACUUUCUCUGUUAGAUGAAUAGGGAAUACUUUUUCAGGUACCAUACAUGGCUGGCUUGCUGAAUGUAUGAUUUUCAGUAAUAUCAAAUUUCACUGAAUCUGACACCAAUUCUUCCAUAAUUAGGUUUAGAAAUUGGCAUUACAUUAUACUAACACCAAGAAUCCAUAGUAUGGAAUUAACAAAUCUAUUCCCUAUUAUUUUCUUAAACAUUAUGUUUUAAAAGCUCUUUUCACUUAUGUUAGGUAAUAGUAAGAAGGCAGUUAAAUACUAUUUGUCCCUAUUGUUGCCAAAAAAAAUGUGUAUGUCAAAACAAGGGUAUGGUCCAUUGUGGUUCUCAACCAGAGUGUAUAAAAGAAUCAUCUGUAUAACUUAAAAAAAUACAGCCACCAGGGCUUACCCAAGUAAUACCAAAAUAAAUUUUUGGGAAGAGGUCCUAAGCUUGCCUUCUUUUAAAGAUUAUAAAUUAUUGAUGUGAAUCCCCUUUAAGAACCAUUUUAAAGCAACAAAUGCAUUAAAUUGAAAACAUCUGGUGAAUACACACAACUUAGUGACCAGGUUUUACUACUUAGUAGGAGAAAACAAAUUCAAUUAAAGAUGCCCAAAAUUUUUUGGAUUUUGUUUUAUUUGAAGAGUAGGAAUGUAAAAUAUCAAAGUUUUAAAACUCCAUUUUAAAAUUGAAAGGGUAAACAUAAAAUCCAUUCAAGAAAAGCACCACUUAUUUUGAACUCUGAAUGGAUUUUAUGUGUUUUAUAUGUUUCUUUGAGUUAAAGAAAGAAAAUCUGGAUUGAGAAGACACAAGGGAGAAUGAGAAGUGAUGUUGAAGGAUGGAAGGAAGAUGAUAAACCAAACAGGAAAGGAGAGCAGAAGAGGAGAGAAAGAGAUGCAAGGUUAACAAAAAUACCCUCUCCCUUGGAAUACUUCCAGCUGUAAAAUUCAAGACAAUGAAAAAGUAAAGCAAGUUGUUCGCCAUGUAAAUUUUAGUUCUAAUUCUCAAUUUUAAACAUCACUCAUGUUGCUCACAUCACUUUAUCUCGAUGAGGCCCGGAAACCACAUUCUUGUAUCCUUUGUUCCCUCCAUUUUCAUUUGACGCAUGCAAUACUCCUGGCUGCGGUGCCCUAUCCUCACUCAUCCUUCAAUCUGGUCAGCAAGAAGAAGGAAAACCUACUCCUAUUGUAAAAUAACCAAGAGUUACAUCUAUUUUUCCAAGUAUUUGUUUUAAAAAGCUGAUCUCUUACGGUGACUAUAGUCAAUAAUACUGUACUGAAUAUUUGAAAGUUGAUGAGAGUAAAUCUUAAGUCUUCAUCAAAAGGAAAAGGAAAAACAUGUAUAACUAUGUAUGAUAUCAGAUGGUAACUACUUAUUGCAAAGAUCAUUUCACAAGGUAUACAAAUAUCAAAUCAUUAUGUUAUACAGCUGAAAGUAACAUAAUGUAAUAUGUCAAUUAUACCUCAAAUUUUUUUAAAAAAGCUGAUCUCUGAUCUUCUAACUUUCAGGAAUGACAACAUUGCAAAAAAAACCCACAAAGAUACUAAAAGAUAUUAAGAACUAAAGAACUUUAUGAAUACUAUUUAAGAGUGUAUACACUUCAAAAAAACAAUUUUUCUCUUUACUGAGUUUCUAGUUUCUCUUUAAAUUUGAGUUUCUGCAAGACAUUGGAAAUACAGCUCAAAUUCCAAAAUGUAAAAUAGGGGGUGCCUGGGUGGCUCAGCUGAUUCAGCAUCCAACUCUUGGUAGCUCAGGUUAUGAUCUCAUGUUCGUGGGAUCCAGUCCUGCACUGGGCUCCACACUGGGUGUGGGACCUGCUUGAGAUUCUCUCUCUCCCUCUCUGUCCCUCCCUCAUGUGCGUGCUCUCUCUCUCUCUCUCUCUGUGUGUGUGUGUGUCUCUCUCUCUCAAAAUAAAUAAAUAAACUUAAAAAAUGUAAAAUAGGUAAAAUCCUUCAGGGAUAGGUAAUGUAUACCAUGAAGAACACUUGUAUUCAAUACAGAAAAAUCCAAACUGGUUCUAGUAGCUCACAGAUAAGUAAUCAUCUUGACCUUGUUCUACCUUUUAUAGCUAUUGACUCUGUCCAGAUGACUUACCUUCUUUGAGCUUCAGUUUCCUACUUUGAAAAAUGUUAAUAAUCACUGCCUCAAAGACUGGUUAAGAUUGGGAUGGUAUGUAGAGAGUUUUGCACAUAGCUAUCAUGAAAAAAUGGUGCUGUUAAUAGUAUUAACUUGUCCUUCCAUUUGAAUUCCUUGCUUAGGUAAAUCUCAUUAUGCACCUGUAAUUAAGAGCUAUUAAUUUCAUCAUUUGAGGCUAUUUCAGUUUAUAGGAAUUACUAGCCUUUUAAACAUGAAACAUGUUUCACACAUAUGUGUAAUAGAAGCAGACUUUUGGUUUACAUUAGUGAUGCAAGUGCAAGUUCUGGAGCUAGAAAGCCUGGAGUUUGGAUCCUGGGUUUGUCAUUUACUAGCUAUGUAUGUGACCUUCGAAAUCCAAGAUAUGCACCCCUUCUGAGACUGGAAUCAUUGAAGCAUGUAGACUAGAACCAGUUACUUUAAAAAAAAAGAUGAUAUUAGACACUGCAAGCAAUCCUAGGAUAAAUACUGAUUGCUCAGAGGUUUAUAUUGCUACUGAAUUUCCUUUACUUAAGGAAAUUCCCAUUAAUUUAUUUCUGUUGCCUUGAACUUUAUAUGGAGAGUUGGAAAAUACGGUUUUUUAAUUAGACAAAGUUACGUGGCUCAAGAGCUAUAGUUAAGAUUUUUUUUUCUUUUUUGAAUUUAAGGUAUUUCUGAACAAGCUUAAAAUAAAAUGAAUUCUUCCACUUGGCUCACCUUCUGGGAAGCAUUUAAAUAUCAUUAAUGGAGUCUGUGAACAGAGUACAAGAAUGAUCCCUUCCUUCAAGUAAGAAAUGUCACAGGCAGUCUUUAUAUAGAGUUUUAGGGACUCUGGAUGCUUGGUAUGGCUGCUAAUAGACUACUGUUCUCAAAACUGUUUUCCUGGAGUCAAAUAUCAGAAGCAGCCUCCAGGAAGUUGCUUUCGGGGAUUCCUUUAGUCCUCUGGGUCCUGUUUCGUAGGAAUACCUCCUGGUUCCUUUCACAUAGGAACAACCCCUGAGAGUGAGAUUAGGGCAGAUUCCCGAACAUGCUUGAGGUCCAAAUUGGGAAUCUCCCAGAAGUCACUUACAUGAACCCCGAAACCAAUGUUUACCUAAAUGACUGAAAGGAGAAAAUGUGGGCUCUGCCCAUUAUCUUACACUGGCAAAGGUCCCAGUGGCCUCUAUUGCUUUCUUGGCCCCAUGGCAGCUACCUAAUACUGGAAUGCUAAAUUGUACUUCCCAAUUGAUUUAUUAAUGUCAAAGUGUCAACUCUGUUGUGGUUCAGAUAGGAUAUGCGUGUAUUAUGUCCAUAUAAUUUUGUAAUAUGAAUUAUGCUUUGGUGAUGAUUAUUAUUAUCAGCAUACUUUGUCUUACAUAUGAAAUCUACAUUUAAAAAAUGGAAUUAAUCUCUUAAAAUAUUUCCCAUAGAAUUCUUUUAGCAGUAAACUUUUUGACAACUUUCAGUAUUUCUUGUAGAAAGCAAUUCGAAUUUCUUGUUUAAUUUCUUGAUUAGAGGGAUUAAGAUAAGAUUAAGAUAGGACAUUUCCAUAUAUCAAGGAGGAGAAAAAUUACACAUUCAGGACUCUGUAAUAACCUCAGAUUCUGUUUUAUAUUCUGUCAUUGAGUCUCUUACCUGCAGAUAACUUUGAUUCUAUGUAUUUAAAAUUAAAAUUGGUCCAAUACACCAUUUUGAAGGUCUGCCAAAAUCUGAAUCAAAUUAGGUCAGAUCUAAAUUAUUUAAGACAGUGGACCCGAAAUAAAAUUAAGUAAAAUAGAAUGUUUUACUGAUGCUCACUGUUGCCAAGUGAAAAACUGCUUUGAAAAUGUCACUUCUCUGGAAAUAGUGAUAUUUUCCCACAGGUAGAAUUUUAGCUGGAGUACCAUUAAUUUUUAAAGCAUUCUCAAGGCACCACAGAAUCUAUACAUGAGCAUUUUCUUUUUUUUUAAAUUUUUUUUUGUUUAUUUAUUUUUGACAGAGACAGAGACAGAAUGCAAGUGGGUUAGGGGCAGAGGGAGACACAGAAGCAGAAGCAGGCUCCAGGCUCUGAGCUGUCAGCACAGAGCCUGACGCGGGGCUCGAACUCACCAGCUGUGAGAAAAUGACUUGAGCCGAAGUCGGACGCUCAACCGACUGAGCCACCCAGGCUCCCCUACAUGAGCAUUUUCAAAAGCAUUGUAAAAUAAAUCAUAGCCAACAUCAGCAGUGAUAACUCAUGAUGAUAUGUUCCCAUGAUAGCAUAUGAGAAUGGUACUUUCCUCUUUCUCUCCAAAACUCAUAAUUUUGAUCUAACAAUGAAAAAAAAAAUGAGAAAAAUCCCAACUAAGGGCCAUCCUACAAAAUACCUCAUCAGUAUUGGUCAUGAAAUUAUCAAGGUCAGCAAAAACAGGGGAAGUCUGAGAAACUGCCAUAGCGUCACAAUGCCAAAGGAGAUAAUGAUGGUUAAAUGUAAUGUGGUAUCCUGGAUGGAAUCUUGGAGGAGGAAAAAAGGCAGU